UCUGAAGUCAGUCCCUGGAGCCAACACCAUCCCUUGAACAUGAAUGAGCAACCAUAAAGAGACCGUGCCAACCUAGGUCUCAUCCCAUCAGGAACCAGUCCACUGGGUCUCAUCCUCUAAUGAUGAUCUUCCUGCCCUGCUCAGACAUCAUUCCAUCCCUGCCAGUGCCAAUUGGAUGGUGCCACAAAACCCAUCUCCAUUUUAAAACAAACUCUUAACAGUGGCUGGAGUGUAUGGAAAAUUCGACCGAAUGUUUUAUUAGACCCGGAUCCCCAUUGGCACUUCAGGCUACAAGCCCUCAGGAAGCUGGCCUGACAUCUGUGACAAAAGACUUGAGUUCAACCCUGAAUUCUACAGAUCUUACAGAAUAAACACUCACACACUGGCCCUCCUUCAAGACAGUUCCAGUGGAAACACUCCCUCCUUAAGGACAUCUCAAAAGUCUCAGGAGCCCUCUGAAAAUACAAAAGCCACACCAGCGCUUUCACACCAGUUGCUGCCACAGUGGGCAUAUAGAACAUGUGGAUACCACCUUGGCCUUGAAGAAGGAGUACCAGGAUUUAGGCUGCAUUUGCUGCACACAGGCUAUUUUGUGAUCAGAUCUUGAAGUGAGGCAGCAUUAGAAGAAACAACCAGACCAGAGACACAGUUUAACUCAGUAAGUUCAAUUGGGCCACAAAGGAAGAAGAAACCCUCCCUCAGACCCCAAAGAACACCACCAUUAGGAGAGACAACGUUAGGAGGGUCUGAAGGGAAGAGCCUGCAAAUCCCUGAACAAAGGGGGUUUCUACUCUUAUAGGCUUCUAAGGGGUGGUAGAUCACG
Mastomys coucha (southern multimammate mouse) is the source of this 823-nucleotide long non-coding RNA. RefSeq lists it as uncharacterized. The transcript is spliced from 4 exons. NCBI's taxonomy places the organism in Eukaryota, Metazoa, Chordata, Mammalia, Rodentia, Muridae. The record is from RefSeq and is a predicted model, not a curated record.